GAUGAACGCUGGCGGCGUGCCUAAUACAUGCAAGUCGAGCGAACGGACGAGAAGCUUGCUUCUCUGAUGUUAGCGGCGGUCGGGUGAGUAACACGUGGAUAACCUACCUAUAAGACUGGGAUAACUUCGGGAAACCGUAGCUAAUACCGGAUAAUAUUUUGAACCGCAUGGUUCAAAAGUGAAAGACGGUCUUGCUGUCACUUAUAGAUGGAUCCGCGCUGCAUUAGCUAGUUGGUAAGGUAACGGCUUACCAAGGCAACGAUGCAUAGCCGACCUGAGAGGGUGAUCGGCCACACUGGAACUGAGACACGGUCCAGACUCCUACGGGAGGCAGCAGUAGGGAAUCUUCCGCAACGGGCGAAAGCCUGACGGAGCAACGCCGCGUGAGUGAUGAAGGUCUUCGGAUCGUAAAACUCUGUUAUUAGGGAAGAACAUAUGUGUAAGUAACUGUGCACAUCUUGACGGUACCUAAUCAGAAAGCCACGGCUAACUACGUG
RNAcentral lists this ribosomal RNA (497 nucleotides) under uncultured bacterium. RNAcentral describes it as "partial 16S ribosomal RNA". It matches the Rfam family "Bacterial small subunit ribosomal RNA", at positions 28 to 507 of the family's 1533-position model. The record is from RNAcentral.